This 133-nucleotide small RNA is filed under the name Sedimenticola selenatireducens. RNAcentral describes it as "RtT sRNA". It matches the Rfam family "RtT RNA". Rfam says of the family: This family represents a bacterial cis-regulatory element known as RtT RNA. The exact function of RtT is unknown although it is thought that it may be involved in changing the cellular response in relation to amino acid starvation. Lineage: Bacteria; Pseudomonadati; Pseudomonadota; Gammaproteobacteria; Chromatiales; Sedimenticolaceae. The record is from RNAcentral.
CUGCAUUGAUUGUGGGGGAGGAGGCGAGCCGAUAAGAGGUUCGACGGGGAGCGUAGCGACCCGAACGUUGCGCGUAGCGCGACGGCCCGGAGGGCAAAGGCCGCAGGCCUGAGUAAUCCUCCCCUCUCCAUCA